GCCGGGAAAGUCAGCGUGCGCGUGGGGUGAAAUGCCAAGUUACCGUUAGAGUGAACGGCAUCACUUCGAAGUCUCACAAUUUUCAUUAUAAAAUCUUCCAUGACAGGAAAAGCUAUAGCAUUUUUCAAAUUCAAUGAGCAAGAUUGGGAAGGAGACAUCACUCAACUAAAACUCCACCAACAGACCUCGCGCUUCACUGUGAGACACCCUUGGAGCCAUUGAUGGGCUAAAGCAGUUGAUAACACACUGUUUUCAAGGGGUCAUAAAAAUCCAAUGGAAACAACUUAUCUUUCCUUCUCAACAUUUCAGCUAUAGAAAUGUCUUCAGGUCUAGGUCCAGGACAGUUUUUUUCCAACAGCUAUCUAGCCAUGCUGGUAGAAGUCCUAGCAAUUUGUACUGGCACCUGGUCCUUCUUCGCCACCAUAUACAACAGCUCAACACACCCUGGACCUCAGAGACCCUCAUUCCUCAAUAGGAAGAUGCCCAGAAGAUGUACAGCUUGCCCAGACUCUUAUGAUGGGAACCUGAGGCAGUGACCAAGGGAAAGUUUCCAGAAUGAGCCUCCUCAAUCAGUUUUGAAAACAUAAUUUUCAUUUGCCUGCAUAGUACUUAAUUAUUUUGGAUAAAUAAAGGCCUCAAAAAUGUAAAUAUGAAGUGAAAUUCAUAUUCACUGUUCCAGAA
RNAcentral lists this long non-coding RNA (681 nucleotides) under Chinchilla lanigera (long-tailed chinchilla). Its description in RNAcentral is "lncRNA (ENSCLAG00000026343.1)". The record is from RNAcentral. Lineage: Eukaryota; Metazoa; Chordata; Mammalia; Rodentia; Chinchillidae.